RNAcentral lists this ribosomal RNA (839 nucleotides) under uncultured marine bacterium. RNAcentral describes it as "bacterial SSU rRNA". It matches the Rfam family "Bacterial small subunit ribosomal RNA", at positions 1 to 845 of the family's 1533-position model. The record is from RNAcentral.
UUCGGCGAUCGUGCCUAUUUACGCGUCGACGGUCUAACCAUGGCUUUCGAACGGCUACACGUAUGUGCUUAGCCUUAGCUGACCAUUGGAGAACGGCUGAGUACUGCGUGGGAAUUUGCCUUUGCGCGGGGAAUACCCAUUGGUAACGGUGGUCCAUACGGCUUAAUGACUGACGUCCUUUGGGGGGACUUCCUCCUCUCAGUUGAAGAGUGGCCCCAUUGAGAUUAACCAUUUGGACGGCUUAAGGCUGACCUGAGAGAACAACUCCAUUCUGUUCUGAUAGAAACAUAGCCCACACUCCGACUGAAACCAGGACCAGACUCUUUCGGGACGCGUUAGUGGCCAAUAUUGCGCCAUGUCGGCAACCCUAAUGCAGCCAUGCGGCUUGUGUGAACAAUGACUUCGGAUUGUACAUCACUUUCUCCGAUCCUGCAUCGAUGUUGUUUAAUACCCAACUAUCUGUGACCUUACUCUCAGAGCAGGCACCGGCUAACUCCGUGCGCGCUACCGCGGUAAUACAUAUCUGGCUAUCGUUAAUCGGAAUGACUGUACUUAAACCGCACGCUGGAGCCUAAUUCUCCUAGAACUGAAACCUCUGCGAUCAACUUGGGAAGGGCUUUGAGAACUGGAUGGCUAUACCAUUGGAUCGGGUAAUGUAAUUCCAUGUCUCGCGGAGAACUGCUUACAUAUCUGAAUGAUCACCUGAGGCUUGCGCCACUCUUUCGCCAGUGACUGACGCUCAUGUGCGAAUGUGCGGGGAGCGAACACGCUUUCAUACCCUGCUAGUCCACAUCGUAUACUGUGUCUACUAGCUGUGUGCCAACGUCUGUUUGUGUAUA